Bombus pascuorum is the source of this 432-nucleotide long non-coding RNA. RefSeq lists it as uncharacterized. The transcript has 2 exons. The record is from RefSeq and is a predicted model, not a curated record. Lineage: Eukaryota; Metazoa; Arthropoda; Insecta; Hymenoptera; Apidae.
AUGAUACGCUGCGAUUUACUCAGCCGAGUUCGUCUACCUAGCUACCGGGAAACCGAGAAAUUGAUGGCACUUCGAAGGGAUUCGCUGCAUCCUACCGUAUAAGUAUGCCGAAAGUGUCUGCACUUGACUUCUUGACAGUCGAUGCUUGCCUUUCGGUUCAUAGAGGACGUCCAUUUUCUAUUUUGAGCAAUAUCACAAUAAUGCGUCCAACGAUAAAUAUGUUGUACUACCACGGAUCAUUCUCCUUCAGACUUCCUUGGGAAUUCUGCCAGAGAUUUGGUAAAGCUCUUUUCACGCCCUGUUGCAGCGAUGGUGAUAUGUAUUUCGCGAUCUCUCACUGAUUUACUCGGCCAUGUCUGCUUCCUUUAUUGCAGCUGAAAGCGUUUGCUAUACGUAUACUGUUGAUCUAAGUACGUAAUAAAUAUUCUCUUU